GAUGAACGCUGGCGGCGUGCCUAAUACAUGCAAGUCGAGCGAACAGACGAGGAGCUUGCUCCUCUGACGUUAGCGGCGGACGGGUGAGUAACACGUGGAUAACCUACCUGUAAGACUGGGAUAACUUCGGGAAACCGGAGCUAGUACCGGAUAAUAUAUUGAACCGCAUGGUUCAAUAGUGAAAGACGGUUUUGCUGUCACUUAUAGAUGGAUCCGCGCCGCAUUAGCUAGUUGGUAAGGUAACGGCUUACCAAGGCAACGAUGCGUAGCCGACCUGAGAGGGUGAUCGGCCACACUGGAACUGAGACACGGUCCAGACUCCUACGGGAGGCAGCAGUAGGGAAUCUUCCGCAAUGGGCGAAAGCCUGACGGAGCAACGCCGCGUGAGUGAUGAAGGUCUUCGGAUCGUAAAACUCUGUUAUUAGGGAAGAACAAAUGUGUAAGUAACUAUGCACGUCUUGACGGUACCUAAUCAGAAAGCCACGGCUAACUACGUG
Molecule: ribosomal RNA, 497 nt
Filed under: uncultured bacterium
Lineage: Bacteria
Description: partial 16S ribosomal RNA
Rfam family: Bacterial small subunit ribosomal RNA
Source: RNAcentral